AUGGCAAGAAGAUUCUUAACUAUCCCUGCUAGCUCGGUGUCAUCGGAAUCUACUUUUAGCACCGGUGGAAGAAUUCUGGAUGAUUAUCGAAGCUUUCUAAAACCAUACAUGGUGGAAGCAUUGGUGCGUGGCGGAAGCUAUAUCAAGGGUGCCCACAAAGACUUAUAUGUGUUGGAUGUGGAAGAAGAUGAUGAUGAUGAGGAUGCGGAGAAGGUCAAAUUGCCUAAAAGUGUGGCAGAUUGCAACUACUAG
RNAcentral lists this ribosomal RNA (252 nucleotides) under Triticum aestivum (bread wheat). RNAcentral describes it as "partial small subunit ribosomal RNA". The record is from RNAcentral. Lineage: Eukaryota; Viridiplantae; Streptophyta; Magnoliopsida; Poales; Poaceae.